AAUGAACGCUGGCGGCGUGCCUAACACAUGCAAGUCGAACGAUAAAACCUCCCUUCGGGGCGGAUAUAAAGUGGCGCACGGGUGAGUAACACGUAGGUAAUGUACCUUUGGGUGGGGGAUAACUUAGGGAAACUUAAGCUAAUACCGCAUAAUGCCUCGGGCCCUUCGGUGGGCCGUUGUUAAAUAUUUAUCGUCUAAAUGGCAGCCUGUCCCAGAUUAGCGAGUUGGUAAGGGAACGGUCUACCAAGGCUACGAUCUGUAGCUGAGCGGAGAGGGAGAUCGGCCACACGGGGAAUGAGCACCGGGCCAGAAUCCUAGGGGAGGCAGCAGUGGGGAAUUUUGGGCAAUGGGCGAAAGCCUGACCCAGCAACGCCGCGUGAGGGAUGAAGGCGUUCGGGAUGUAAACUUCGUUAGAACGGGAAGAAAAUGAGAGGAUAGGGUUAAUAAGCUCCGGCUAACUACGUG
This 465-nucleotide ribosomal RNA is filed under the name uncultured bacterium. RNAcentral describes it as "partial 16S ribosomal RNA". It matches the Rfam family "Bacterial small subunit ribosomal RNA", at positions 29 to 507 of the family's 1533-position model. The record is from RNAcentral.